Bombus terrestris (buff-tailed bumblebee) is the source of this 1173-nucleotide long non-coding RNA. RefSeq lists it as uncharacterized. The record is from RefSeq and is a predicted model, not a curated record. The transcript is spliced from 2 exons. NCBI's taxonomy places the organism in Eukaryota, Metazoa, Arthropoda, Insecta, Hymenoptera, Apidae.
CCAUGAACGGCUGUUAGACGUCAAUAUUUCUAGCGCAUGUAAAACAAUUGACGGAAUGUAUCUUCGGUGGUACACGUGGAUUAAUUUGAAUAGUGCGACAUUCAACAUAUUUAAUAACAGAAUUGUGUGAAUGCGUGUACUGGUGUAUUUUUCGAGAUAUUUUAAUGGGAAAAAUCUAUUUUGUGGAAACAUGAUAAGAAGUAAAGAGAAAAAUAGUUGUUACGUAAUAAUGUGGUGAUUAAACGGAUGAAUGGUUAUUAACUUCGAGUCUCGAAGUUCGAGGAAGCUGACAAACGUUCAUUCGAGAAUUACAGCGGUUUACGAGACUAGGAAUGUUCGUAUACGAGUUGCAUACGCGAAUAUAAACUUGACAUUUCAGUGACUGAGAGGGAUAACGAGUAACGAGACAUGUUGGAUUCCAAUAUAAGGCGGACGCUUGGAACGCGCAACUUUAAGAUUCGAGUAUUAUUAGCUUGGAGAAUAUGUGAAAAAGUUACGAAAAUGAAACAUAAAGAGAUGUUGUAAAGAUUAUAUAAAAAAAAAAUGUUUACCUUGUAUGUAUCUACAAUGAAAUGUCAUGUAAUUUUUUAUCUAUUAUUUAUUUUUUAAUUAUCGUGCAAGAUAGUCUUUUAUAAAAAGCAAAAAUGUGUUUAAAAAGUGAUGGAGGCGUUAUUUGGAGUCCAAUUCUUGGUCUCCACUGGUUUUACGGCAACUGGCAACGUAACUUUCCAUACUUUCAUUUUGAUUAUCUAAUCGAAUGGAAAAAUCAAUAGUAGUAAGAUGAAUUCAGAUAUCCUUUUAUCGACUGAUGAUAUUGUAGUGAUAUCGAUUUAAAAAUAUUUUCUAAUUAAAAUUAUGUAAACAAAAAUAUGAAGUAAAAUAAUGAUAUUAAAAAUUUUAAUAUUGCGAACGAAAAGAAAAUUGCAAAUAAAAAAAUUAUAUGAAAAUAUGGAUGCUUUUACAAUCGUAAUAAAUCGAUAACAGGAUUGAUUUUUAAUGCAUAUCCAAAUGAUAAUUAGUUUAUAAAUCUUUUUAAGAGAUUUUGAUGAUAUAUUAAAUUUCUUCCUAUUAAGUAAAUAGUUGGAUUGUUAUUAUAUAACCAUCAUUAUAUGUGAUCUAAAUACACUCGAUUUAAUAAACUCAAUCAAUAAAAUCUUUGGCAUUUAUUAUUGA